CCCGUAAUCCGGGUUGCGGACAGUGUCUGGUGGGUAGUUUGACUGGGGCGGUCUCCUCCUAAAGAGUAACGGAGGAGCACGAAGGUUGGCUAAUCCUGGUCGGACAUCAGGAGGUUAGUGCAAUGGCAUAAGCCAGCUUGACUGCGAGCGUGACGGCGCGAGCAGGUGCGAAAGCAGGUCAUAGUGAUCCGGUGGUUCUGAAUGGAAGGGCCAUCGCUCAACGGAUAAAAGGUACUCCGGGGAUAACAGGCUGAUACCGCCCAAGAGUUCAUAUCGACGGCGGUGUUUGGCACCUCGAUGUCGGCUCAUCACAUCCUGGGGCUGAAGUAGGUCCCAAGGGUAUGGCUGUUCGCCAUUUAAAGUGGUACGCGAGCUGGGUUUAGAACGUCGUGAGACAGUUCGGUCCCUAUCUGCCGUGGGCGCUGGAGAACUGAGGGGGGCUGCUCCUAGUACGAGAGGACCGGAGUGGACGCAUCACUGGUGUUCGGGUUGUCAUGCCAAUGGCACUGCCCGGUAGCUAAAUGCGGAAGAGAUAAGUGCUGAAAGCAUCUAAGCACGAAACUUGCCCCGAGAUGAGUUCUCCCUGAGACUUAGAGUCUCCUGAAGGAACGU
RNAcentral lists this ribosomal RNA (612 nucleotides) under Salmonella enterica subsp. enterica serovar Meleagridis. RNAcentral's name for it is "partial 23S ribosomal RNA". It matches the Rfam family "Bacterial large subunit ribosomal RNA", at positions 2232 to 2838 of the family's 2925-position model. The record is from RNAcentral. Lineage: Bacteria; Pseudomonadati; Pseudomonadota; Gammaproteobacteria; Enterobacterales; Enterobacteriaceae.